This 363-nucleotide long non-coding RNA is filed under the name Capsicum annuum. RNAcentral's name for it is "long non-coding RNA (CANN_LNC008897)". The record is from RNAcentral. Lineage: Eukaryota; Viridiplantae; Streptophyta; Magnoliopsida; Solanales; Solanaceae.
AGUUAUGUUAGGUUUAAUCUGGUGGAAUCGGGUAUCUAGACUGUCAAUUAAAACGAGCGGACCACUCGAGUUGGCAAGGGACAGCUUUACCGGUAGCAGGGCUUUCCGGCCUCACUGUUGGUCCCUUUCCGUCCUAAGUCAUGGGUGACUACAGAAUCCUUCCCAGGAGCGUUGCCGCAUCUCUGGUAUCUCAAGCUCGGGAGCGUAUACCGCAUCUCCGAAUAUACAGUAUCUCAGAAGACUCAGAUGGGUGUGCGAGAGAAGACAAUUUAUAUUGCAAUUCAAAUAAUAUCAAAGCGAUAAACAUGCAGGCAAAGAAUACAUUUAGGCCAACAAUAUACAAUAUCAAAAUUAAAUAAAGCC